This 448-nucleotide ribosomal RNA is filed under the name uncultured bacterium. RNAcentral's name for it is "partial 16S ribosomal RNA". It matches the Rfam family "Bacterial small subunit ribosomal RNA", at positions 329 to 793 of the family's 1533-position model. The record is from RNAcentral.
UGCCAGACUCCUACGGGAGGCAGCAGUGGGGGAUAUUGCACAAUGGGGGAAACCCUGAUGCAGCGACGCCGCGUGUGGGAAGACGGUCCUCUGGAUUGUAAACCACUGUCCCCAGGGACGAAGAUGACGGUACCUGGGGAGGAAGCUCCGGCUAAUUCCGUGCCAGCAGCCGCGGUAAUACGGAAGGUCCGGGCGUUAUCCGGAUUUAUUGGGUUUAAAGGGAGCGUAGGCCGGCUUUUAAGGCAGCUGUGAAAGUCCGCGGCUCAACCGUGGAAUUGCUGUUGAAACUGGAGGCCUUGAGUGCACAAAGGGAUGCCGGAAUUCCUGGUGUAGCGGUGAAAUGCUUAGAUAUCAUGAAGAACUCCGAUCGCGAAGGCAAGUGUCCGGGGUGCAACUGACGCUGAGGCUCGAAAGUGUGGGUAUCAAACAGGAUUAGAUACCCCAGUAU